ACUGGAACUUGGUUUGACUUUUCCUGUGUUUUGAAAUUAGCUCUUCUCAUGAGGAUCCCCUUCAAAGCAAGAAUUAAGACAGGAACGUCUACACAAUUACAGAUGUUGUGAGCAUCAAGAAUGCCAUCAGGGGAGAUUCCAGGAGGUGAAUCAUCACGUCAGUCAGAAAGAAACCAUAAUCCCUGGGAUGAAAGACUCUUGGUCGAGAGUCAGUUUUUUGGCAAAACUUCAUUAUGGUUCUUGAAAACUGGAAAACUAAAAACAACUUGUGUAAAUGUGUUGCAUAUUUGACUAUUUUGACCUGCCUAGAGCUUUCUGAAUGAACCUAUGCCAGAAUACAACGAUAUUGACCUAUUAAAAACACAAACUUUUAUGCUGCAUGCUGCUGAAUUUCAAUGCAUUUAAAAGUGGAUGCUUCUCACUCUACUUUCGUUGUGUUAAAAGUGAUGGCUAACUUUUUUCUUUUUUUUGAGGAAGAUCAGCCCUGAGCUAACUACUGCCAAUCUUCCUCUUUUUUUGCUGAGGAAGACUGGCCCUGAGCUAACAUCCAUGGCCAUCUUCCUCUAUUUUAUACGUGGGACACCUACCACAGCAUGGCUUUUGCCAAGUGGUCCCACGUCCGCGCCUGGGAUCCGAACCAGCAAAUCCCAGGGCACCGAGAAGCGGAACGUGCGAACUUAACUGCUGCACCACCAGGCCAGCCCCCAUGGCUAACUUUUUUAAGAUCAAAACUAAAGCUCAAAGAUUUCUAGUAGCAAAGGACCCUGGAUCCCUUUUUCCAGAAUCAUCCUUAAUCCCAGGGGAGAAAAGAAGGGCCCCUGACCUGGGCAGUCACAUCAGAGGGACUUCUCUAGCCCUCCACCAGCCAUGCCCUUCACAGAAGACAAACAAAGGUACGCACACAGAGGCCAACCAACCCCUCUCCAGAUCACACCCAGAUCUAAAAGAACUGGCUGCUCCUUAACUGCUUAAAAAACCUCCGAUGGCUUCAGCAUUGACACUCCAGAGGACAGCUCCCUCCAGAAGAUUCUGGCACCCUCCAGAAGGGAUUCUAGAGGAUACGUCACCUUCACUCCCACUCAUG
Molecule: long non-coding RNA, 1084 nt
Filed under: Equus caballus (horse)
Lineage: Eukaryota; Metazoa; Chordata; Mammalia; Perissodactyla; Equidae
Description: lncRNA (ENSECAG00000054230.1)
Source: RNAcentral